UCCCUAAUCAACUGGCAGCUGGGACAAC
RNAcentral lists this small RNA (28 nucleotides) under Bombyx mori (domestic silkworm). RNAcentral's name for it is "ovarian small RNA-27364". The record is from RNAcentral. Lineage: Eukaryota; Metazoa; Arthropoda; Insecta; Lepidoptera; Bombycidae.